This 253-nucleotide ribosomal RNA is filed under the name uncultured bacterium. Its description in RNAcentral is "partial 16S ribosomal RNA". It matches the Rfam family "Bacterial small subunit ribosomal RNA", at positions 524 to 776 of the family's 1533-position model. The record is from RNAcentral.
UACGUAGGGUCCGAGCGUUGUCCGGAAUUAUUGGGCGUAAAGAGCUCGUAGGCGGUCUGUCGCGUCUGCUGUGAAAACUCAGGGCUUAACCCUGAGCUUGCAGUGGGUACGGGCAGACUAGAGUGCGGUAGGGGAGACUGGAAUUCCUGGUGUAGCGGUGAAAUGCGCAGAUAUCAGGAGGAACACCUGAGGCGAAGGCGGGCUACUGGGCCGAUACUGACGCUGAGGCGCGAAAGCCAGGGGAGCGAACGGG